UAGAGUUUGAUCCUGGCUCAGAACGAACGCUGGCGGCGUGGAUAAGACAUGCAAGUCGAGCGCUGAUUACAGGGUAGCAAUAUUCUGUAGUCGGAGCGGCGCAAGGGUGCGUAACACGUGGGUAAUCUGCCGUGAAGUCUGGAAUAACUUGCUGAAAGGCGAGCUAAUGCCGGAUGUGACAAUUGGGAGGCAUCUCCUGAUUUUCAAAGUUGGGGACCGAAAGGCCUGACGCUUCACGAUGAACCCGCGGCCUAUCACGGUAGUUGGUGAGGUAACGGCUCACCAAGCCUAAGACGGGUAGCUGGUCUGAGAGGACGACCAGCCACACUGGAACUGAGACACGGUCCAGACACCUACGGGUGGCAGCAGUCGAGAAUUUUUCACAAUGGGGGAAACCCUGAUGGAGCGACGCCGCGUGGGGGAUGAAUGGCUUCGGCCCGUAAACCCCUGUCAUUUGCGAUCAAACCUUGUUAUUUAAAAGAUGACGAGCUGAUAGUAGCGAAAGAGGAAGGGACGGCUAACUCUGUGCCAGCAGCCCCGGUCAA
RNAcentral lists this ribosomal RNA (545 nucleotides) under uncultured bacterium. RNAcentral's name for it is "bacterial SSU rRNA". It matches the Rfam family "Bacterial small subunit ribosomal RNA", at positions 1 to 524 of the family's 1533-position model. The record is from RNAcentral.